CCUACGGGAGGCAGCAGUGGGGACUAUUGCACAAUGGGGGAAACCCUGAUGCAGCGACGCCGCGUGAGUGAAGAAGUAUUUCGGUAUGUAAAACUCUAUCAGCAGGGAAGAAACCCACCCUCCGGGGUGGCUGACGGUACCUGACUAAGAAGCCCCGGCUAACUACGUGCCAGCAGCCGCGGUAAUACGUAGGGGGCAAGCGUUAUCCGGAUUUACUGGGUGUAUAGGGAGCGUAGGUGGCAAGGCAAGUCAGUUGUGAAAACGCGGGGCCCAACCCCAGGAGUGCAUUUGAAACUGUCGGGCUAGAGUGCAGUAGAGGUAAGUGGAAGUCCUAGUGUAGCGGUGAAAGGCAUAGAUAUUAGGAGGAACACCAGUGGCGAAGGCGGCUUACUGGACUGUAACUGACACUGAGGCUCGAAAGCGUGGGGAUCAAACAGGAUGAGAUACCCCUGUAGUC
Molecule: ribosomal RNA, 457 nt
Filed under: uncultured bacterium
Lineage: Bacteria
Description: partial 16S ribosomal RNA
Rfam family: Bacterial small subunit ribosomal RNA
Source: RNAcentral